CCUACGGGAGGCUGCAGUGGGGAAUAUUGGACAAUGGGGGGAACCCUGAUCCAGCCAUGCCGCGUGUGUGAAGAAGGCCCUCGGGUUGUAAAGCACUUUCAGUGAGGAAGAACGCCUGGUGGUUAAUACCCAUCAGGAAAGACAUCACUCACAGAAGAAGCACCGGCUAACUCCGUGCCAUCAGCCGCGGUAAUACGGAGGGUGCGAGCGUUAAUCGGAAUUACUGGGCGUAAAGCGCGCGUAGGUGGCUUGAUAAGCCGGUUGUGAAAGCCCCGGGCUCAACCUGGGAACGGCAUCCGGAACUGUCAAGCUAGAGUGCAGGAGAGGAAGGUAGAAUUCCCGGUGUAGCGGUGAAAUGCGUAGAGAUCGGGAGGAAUACCAGUGGCGAAGGCGGCCUUCUGGACUGACACUGACACUGAGGUGCGAAAGCGUGGGUAGCAAACAGGAUUAGAUACCCUUGUAGUC
This 465-nucleotide ribosomal RNA is filed under the name Vreelandella stevensii. Its description in RNAcentral is "partial 16S ribosomal RNA". It matches the Rfam family "Bacterial small subunit ribosomal RNA", at positions 338 to 795 of the family's 1533-position model. Lineage: Bacteria; Pseudomonadati; Pseudomonadota; Gammaproteobacteria; Oceanospirillales; Halomonadaceae. The record is from RNAcentral.